GCCCGAGUGGCGGAAUGGUAGACGCAGGGGAUUCAAAAUCCCCCGGUGGCAACAUCGUGUCGGUUCGAGUCCGACCUCGGGCACCA
RNAcentral lists this transfer RNA (86 nucleotides) under Tranquillimonas rosea. Its description in RNAcentral is "Roseivivax roseus tRNA_Leu_CAA". It matches the Rfam family "tRNA". From Rfam's summary of the family: Transfer RNA (tRNA) molecules are approximately 80 nucleotides in length. Their secondary structure includes four short double-helical elements and three loops (D, anti-codon, and T loops). Further hydrogen bonds mediate the characteristic L-shaped molecular structure. tRNAs have two regions of fundamental functional importance: the anti-codon, which is responsible for specific mRNA codon recognition, and the 3' end, to which the tRNAs corresponding amino acid is attached (by aminoacyl-tRNA synthetases). tRNAs cope with the degeneracy of the genetic code in two manners: having more than one tRNA (with a specific anti-codon) for a particular amino acid; and 'wobble' base-pairing, i.e. permitting non-standard base-pairing at the 3rd anti-codon position. Lineage: Bacteria; Pseudomonadati; Pseudomonadota; Alphaproteobacteria; Rhodobacterales; Roseobacteraceae. The record is from RNAcentral.